Long non-coding RNA from Papaver somniferum (opium poppy), 2846 nucleotides. RefSeq lists it as uncharacterized. The transcript has 12 exons. NCBI's taxonomy places the organism in Eukaryota, Viridiplantae, Streptophyta, Magnoliopsida, Ranunculales, Papaveraceae. The record is from RefSeq and is a predicted model, not a curated record.
UUCAUUUCCCUCCCAUUCUCACACACUCGACUCUCCCAAACUCUCUAGGUUUCCUCUCUCUUACUUUCCCCUCUUUGUUUCUUCUUUACAACAAACUGCUCAGCUCAGAACAGAUCGUUUGGUGGAAGAGGAGGCAGCACUCGUCGACAGAGCUGGUUAGAGUAGACUUCCAGUAUGGCUAGGCUUGUAAAGAAAUUUAUGGGGAAAAUGGAAGAAUAUGAUAAGGUUCUUCGUGUACUUGGUAGCCUCUGGUUUCAUGGUGUGUUUUGUGGUUGCUGAGCAAAAUCGUCUGGAAAGGAGACUCAUGAAAUGCAGGAAACAAGGGAUACUGCUGACGAGGUUUUUAGUCAGUUAAGUACUGUUCUUCAGCAAGCGGAGUUAGCAAGGAAAGACAGGGAAAAAAUUGUUGCAUUUCUUAAGGACAUCCCAGCUGCGGUUCACACUUUUGAAAAGUGAAGAAUAUGAAGAAUAUGUCAUGUGCUGAAUUAAUGUCUAAAAAAUUUAUUAAGUAGAGCUAUCUUUGUCAGUGUUUUCAUCCUCCUACUUGGUCCAGUGUUCCAACAUAAAUCUACACUACUGAUAAUAUUAGGUGGUUUAUUUUCUUUACUUUUGUAAAUUUUCACUUCCUAUUUUUAUUUUUUUUAGACAUAGGCCCGUCCUGCCCCUGGCAGCGUAGCCACCGGCUUCCUCCCCACUGAGCACUUCUUCCCUUUAGAAUAGAAAUCUGCAGUAUCUGUACCCCCUAAUGACCAGUCCUUUAUUUUAACCACAAUUUGUUGACAUCAUUAACUGCCAAAAGCUUGGUAUUGGUAACCCUCCACCAAAUUUAGUCCUUGUUUCUUCAUUAAUUUAUUUGGCUGGUCUGCUCUCUAGUCUAGGUAAUUGGGGAAUGAAAAGAUAUUGGCAUUGCCAUUGACACUGGUUCUUUCCAAUCAAGUAGUACAUUUUUGAAAAGACGUGAGCCUGAGACUAUAAUAGGAGACGGACAACUCACAGAGCCGUGAUGAAUGAAGACGUUCUCUCUCGAAUCUGCUGCCUUGAACUUCCCCAUUUCCUCUCUGUUUCUACUUUCUGCUCUGAUAUCUCAAAUCACAGGAACAGCUUUCAGUCUCCUCAGGCUGUUACUCGGAUUUUCAAAUCCUAGAUGGAAAGUGGUAAUUUUUAUAUUUUUUUUCUUGAGAAUUAGUUACUCUCUAAGUAAUUGUUUUUGUAAAUUUUCAAUAUCUUCAAAAAGGAGGAUUGAACAGGAUGGGUUGAAAUUGUUUUAGUUAUUCCUUCAUUGCUUCUUCCAGUUCAAAAUCAGCAUGUAGUUAACGAGGAUAAUCAUUUCUCUCGUAUUUCAGUGUAGGUCCUGAUAAAUGGUAGACCAAUCAACCCGUUUCCUGUACUAGGACUAUUUCUGUUUUACAGUUUCUGGUUUAAACAUACUUAAAAGUUGCUAUAUUUGUAUUUGGUGAUUGCUGGCUUUCGUAGGGGAUGGAAGGUCUACGUGGUUGGAAUUGAAUAUACAGAAGACCAGAUGCUCCGAGGAUGAAAGUGAUUGGGGUUUGAUGACUUUGUGCAGUUAAAGGGAUUUAAAGAUCUUAGAAAUGGGUAUAUACCGGAAUGAUGAUUGCAUUAUUGAAUGUUCAAUCUCAGCACAAGACUGUAUCGACUAUCGAGGAGUUGGUAACGGAAUCCAUUGAGAGGGAUUCAGCUUUUAUCUGUGCAUUUUGCCAAACCUCCCAUGUACAGUGCGUACAUUCAGAGUUCUGGAUACAUUUUGCGAAAGGAAAGGAAGUAGAAGAGGAUGAGGUAUCUGGACCAGAUGUGGUACAUGUUCACCAAAAAUGUUAUAUAUUCAUAUUUGGGGAUAUUCUAGGCGCCUAGACUGUAUUAUGCUGGUGAGACUGUUAUGAACUUGGAGAUGGAGCUGGCUAGGAGUUCUAACGUCAAAUGUAGCUGUUGUGGGUUAAAGGGUUCAGCUCUUGGAUGCUUUAAACACUCCUACAAGAAUACAUAUCAUGUUCCUUGUGCAUUUGAUACUUCUGAUUGCCGGUGGGAUGAUGAAGGUCAUCUAUUGUUAUGUCCAAGCCAUUCUGGUAUGAAGUUUUCACAUGAGAAAACCAAGACGGGAAAUAAGCUAGCAAAGGACAAUUCUUCAGCUGUUCAAAGGAGAAAAGGCUAAAAGAUAUGGAGACUACACAUGAGCAUUCCAUCCAGAAGAUUGGAUCUCCUUUCCCCCUUUCUCUUGUAGGUGUAUGUUCAGAUGCUAAAGAGAAAUGCAGGGGAAACUGCCUUAGAAGCUGAAAGAUGGGCAGACUUGGAUAAGGAGAUUGCAGCAAUUAGGAUUUCGCUGGACACAAUUUCCUCGGCAGCUUUUAUUAAUGGUUCAUACAUAACACAAUUUCCUCGGCAGCUUUUGUUAAUGGUUCAUACUUGCACAUAUAACCCAUCAGAGAUUGAUCACCGAAAAGUUAAAACACAAUCAACCUAGUUUCUCUGCUGUACUUAAUAAUUCCUGAAUUCUAAUAUGCAUGCAUUAAAAGUUUGAAUCACAGUUUGCUCGUGCAUGACCACAGUGCUGAGUUUACAGUGUUAUGUGGUCUGCUGAGCGUUCUCAUGUGUAGCUUUCCAUUGCAAGUGUCCAAUCCAAAUAUACAUAUGCAUACAUUAAACCGCAUGUUAAUGUGUUACAUAUGCUACUCUGUAAUUUGUAUGUUGCUCACCUAAUCAGUCAGAUCGACAAAUUGGGAAUGCAACAUGAUUUUUGGUAGUUGUUGCUUUUAGGUAGCUUUACCAUUGAGGUCUGUCUGGUUAUUCCUCCUUUUUCUGGUGGCAUGUUCUUUCCUCCCUUUUAGUCAGGU